GGCGGAGGGAAGCUCAUCAGUGGGGCUACGUGCUGAGUGCAUCCAGUCACUCUUCCACCGCCCUUGGGAAGGUCUGAGACUGGGGCCAAUAGCGGCCCUAACAGGGCCCUCCCUGAGCUCCGGGGAGGUGAGUUCCCAGAGAGCGGGGCUCCGCGCGAGGGCAGACUGGGCAGGAGAUGCCGGGAACCCGCCCUCGGGCAGGACCCGGCGGAUGCCUCCUUAGCCGGAGCUUGGAACAGACUCACGGCCGGCCAAGUGAGUUCAAUGGCUGAGGUGAGGCACCGCGCCCGCCGGGCCUCAUAACCCAAUUCAGACUACUCUCCCCCGCC
Ribozyme from Heterocephalus glaber (naked mole-rat), 329 nucleotides. It matches the Rfam family "Nuclear RNase P". From Rfam's summary of the family: Ribonuclease P (RNase P) is a ubiquitous endoribonuclease, found in archaea, bacteria and eukarya as well as chloroplasts and mitochondria. Its best characterised activity is the generation of mature 5'-ends of tRNAs by cleaving the 5'-leader elements of precursor-tRNAs. The record is from Ensembl. Lineage: Eukaryota; Metazoa; Chordata; Mammalia; Rodentia; Bathyergidae.